Felis catus (domestic cat) is the source of this 3738-nucleotide long non-coding RNA. RefSeq lists it as uncharacterized. Lineage: Eukaryota; Metazoa; Chordata; Mammalia; Carnivora; Felidae. The transcript has 14 exons. The record is from RefSeq and is a predicted model, not a curated record.
UGAAAUACUACAAUCAAUAACUAACAAAGGCUGAUAUCAAGGACCUACACACACCAUCUUAGCCAGGACUGUAUACGCAAAACUGUAUCUAUCAUGACUGAAGUACAUGCCAAGUCUUGUGGAUAUUGGAUCAUAACAAAAAGGUAUAAUCAUGUUGCUAAGGAUUGUACACCAGCAAUUACCUCUUGAAGGGAGAUUGAUAAGAGAAUUAACUCAGCAUGCCAAGAACCAUCUGAGAACGUUUUAGAAAACAAACACUUACUUGGAGCAACAUAGACCCCGGUUCACAGAUCUGGACUCUGCCCCUUACCAGUUACUUACCAUUGACGUAGACAGCAGCACAAAAACUUCUAGAAUCUGGAAUUGGAGAAAAUCCGUCCACUAGAACUUCAACGAAGAGGGGACCCAUGCAUACCCCCAGAGAGAGUCUAUGUUUUCUUUUUUCUUUUUUUGUGAUAUACCCAAGACCCACCUUGGACUCAAGGGACACAAAUUUGGUCUUCUUCAGUACAGGUUUACAGACAUGUUUCUGAGGGCAUUUUGCUCAUCCCUUGGAAGUGGACAUUCCCUCCUAUUCCAUGUUUCCAGUUGUCUGAAGGAGGGAUGAGUGUCAGCACCCCACAUCUGUGGCGAAGGAAGAUGAGAAGAAGCUCUUGCUCUCCAAAUAGCAUCCCUGUUUCUAGGUGGGAUGCAUAUUAUAUACUUUCCUCCCAAGGUCUGUACAGAAGCUGGAGAUGUCCUGGGCCACCUGGAUGCAUGGAGACAUUGGAGAAAACAGAACCAUGAGAGUAGCGAGAAUUUCAGCCUGAGUAAAAGGUCAGCAGCACACCAGGUUUCUGAAGGUGAAAUCAUGUGGAACAUUGGGCUGGACUCCAUUUUGGACAACCAAAAUGUGGAAUUCUGGCAUAGAUGAAGUACAUGGAAAUCAAGAAAAUGGAUGCCAGGGGGCCAAGGACCAAUUUCACUGGCAUUAGAUUCUAGCCAACUCUAUUACCACUUCAGAAAUAAGACUCAUCAACGCACUGAGUGUGGCCCAAGAUUUUUGCCUGCCUCCUACCCACUCAGCAAGGAGCCACAAUUUGAUCCUAGAGAUUUGAUUCUAAUUGAGCAGGCUACUGUGGGUUCCUGAGGAUUUCUCCAACAAGAACAGUUGUGUUUGGUAUGUGCAUCUGAGUCGUUCGUGAAGGAUGGAAACUUCUUGGACAAACCUCCAAGUCAAUCAAAAGGAUUACCAGGAUUUUAAUCCCAAAUAUCAAAUCCCCAGCUGUUGGUAAAAAUGUAUGAUCUAUGGUUCUAAAUGACCACAGUUGAGUGACACUUUGAUUUUCACACAGGCUCCUUUUAAGUGGCAGAUGGUAUUCUAGUUAGUUUGACUGUAAGCUUCCUGGAGUCUGGGUUCUCCUUGGGUGGCAAACCUAGGAGAACCUAUAUAAUGGCAAACUCACAUUAAUUGGUACCAGUGGAUUUGCAGAGCAAAGUCUAAUUUCCUUGGCCUUGUUCAUUCUGCUUCUCAGCUUUUCCCUAUUUUCUUUCCAUUUCUGAAUCCUUCCAAGUCUACCUCAUAAUCUACUGUGAGGUCCUCAAGGUGACUUUGACCCCAAUCAUCUCUUCUAUUUCUUACCUCCUAAUGCAUUUGUGGUGUGUACCAUCCAACUCAGUUUAUAAUAAUAUUAUGUUUCAUAUAUUUCUCUUAUUAAUAUAUGUACAUUGGCUCUUCCUCUUUUAACUCCAGUUCCUUGAGGGUAGGGACAUUAUUUCACACCAUCCUUAUAACUUCUUCCUUUCCUUGAUAGUGUCCAACUCAGUGCCAAACAUCCAGCAAUUAACUAAAUAUUUCCAUACGGUUUAAAACAUAACUCUAGAAGCCUUUUGAAAAAUGUCAGUAACUUGCGAGUUUACAUUUUAAGCCAUAAUCAGUUGACCCCUUAAUUGGAAAUGAGCACUUUCUCUGGGUAACUUGUAUAUUCAUGUGGGAGGGCAGCAUAUAUAGGGCUAUGGGGAAGGAUGGAGAAUGGUUUUCACUUACUUCAUACUGUCGCCUCUAUUUACCCCAGUCUUUGAGAGCAGAUAUAGUGGAUCAAUCCAAGGAAGCAGACAUCUCACUAGGUAUUUCAACAUAGAGAAUUUAGCCUAAGAAACUGGUUAAGACAGAAAACUGAAAAAAUGGAAAGGGGACACGAGAUUAUCACAGAGAUAAGUAACUGCAGGAAACAAUCCCACCCAAGUGAUGUGGUUUGAAGUCAAUGGUCAGCAAAGAAUUCUUGAGAUGGUUUUGGUACAAAAAGGUGUUUUUAUUAAAGCAUGGGGACAGGACCCAUGGGCAGGAAGAGCUGCACUGGGGUCAUGAGGAGCAAUUGAUUAUACACUUUGGAGUUGGAGAUGGUAAAGACAAAGGAAGUUUCCAAAAGGAUUUUCAGAAGCUAAAGAAGACUUAUAGGAUCCUGGAGGCCUAGCUAUUACCAAGCUAAGGUUGUUUUUCCUUCUAGCAAAGCAUUGAUAUUAAGACAGUUGGGAGUUCUCGAAGAAUGUUAUACUCUGCCUGCCUCAAGUAUUUGUUAAUUCCAGCAGGUUGUAAGCAAAUUUAAUUUUAUCUCCAUUUCUUUUGCCUUUGUUCUCCACAUCAUUAGCCCUGGGUGAACCAACUGGAAGAGGUUUGGGUGAUGAGAACCUAGAAGCCAGGAGGAGAAGUCCCACAGAACUGCACUCAGAUCUCUGAGGAGGGCAAGUUCUGCUCAGACACUCAAGUGGAUCUUCCAGAUGGUUGCCUGGUCUAAGAACCCGUGGUAGAGGAAGAAGAGACUCCAGGCCAUGAAACCGGCCCACGUCACUCCACUGACUGAUGUCUCCCACACCUCUGAUGCCAGGAUAUUUCAUCUUUUCUUAAAGGAUUAAGAGAAGGGGUUUGCUGAAUAUGACGGGUGAUAUUUAUUGCAGUCUUUCAAAGAGCAUCUGCCACUGAAAUGCAGGUGGAGAUUUUGAGAAUGCACAAUUCUUCUUUAUUCCUGUUCCUGUGAUCAUUCCCAUUUGGUUUGCUGACUAGACCAGAAAACUACUUUCUGUACUGCGAAGACAUCUCACGAUACAAACUAUUUUCAGAAAGUGCGGAUGUCAGAUGUCUGACCAAACUCCAGGGAAGGAAGAAGAGGCUGUCCUUUUGUGUCACAGCAUUUUUGCUGAACACAAGUGCCACGUGGAUGACAGGUUGGAGGGGAAGCUGGAAGAGCUGAUCUAAGGGACGGAAGGUUGCUCUGGAGUAGUUGGCGGACAUCUUUGAAGAUGAAGAUGACUGAGCAAGAUGGUGUUUCAUGUUUUUGCAAAAGGAGCCGGAGAUACUGUAAGAGAAGUUACCUUUGGAACUCCUCCCUGAGAAUUGACCGUUCAUGCUCAUUAACUCAUCAGUGGAAAAUUUUGCCCCAAGUGAACCGGAUAUUGAACCUUGGCAGGGUCCCUAGAGCAAUGACAGCUGUUGAUGCUGAUUAUAAAGAUACCUACCAGGAUACGAGGCACCUUUGGUCCACAUUUUGCUGGACUCACAUUUUCAGGAACCAGUUAGCUUAUGCACCCCCCCCCCGAUAAUUUCAAAUAUAGAUUUAUGAUACGUGUUUGGUUUUAUAUAUUAAAUAGGUAUCUGUCAAAGUGGGUAUCCAAAGUGAGGGAUUUUACUUUUUAUGAUUAGUAUUUGGCAUUUUAAUUAUAUGAAAUAGAUUUUUGGGAAUAAAACUCCAAUUCAAGAGGCAA